This 68-nucleotide transfer RNA is filed under the name Oryctolagus cuniculus (rabbit). RNAcentral describes it as "tRNA-Trp". Lineage: Eukaryota; Metazoa; Chordata; Mammalia; Lagomorpha; Leporidae. The record is from RNAcentral.
AGGAGUUUAGGUUACACAGACCAAGAGCCUUCAAAGCUCUAAGCAAGUAGAUCAUACUUAACCCCUGC